AAAAAAAUACCUGAGACUGGGUAAUUUAUAAAGAAAAGAGGUUUAAUUGACUCAGGGUUCCACAGACUGUACAGGAAGCAUGGCAGGGGGUGG
Long non-coding RNA from Sapajus apella (tufted capuchin), 93 nucleotides. RefSeq lists it as uncharacterized. The transcript is spliced from 3 exons. The record is from RefSeq and is a predicted model, not a curated record. NCBI's taxonomy places the organism in Eukaryota, Metazoa, Chordata, Mammalia, Primates, Cebidae.